AAAGACUGUUCUCAGUUCGGACUGCAGUCUGCAACUCGACUGCACGAAGCUGGAAUCGCUAGUAAUCGCGGAUCAGCACGCCGCGGUGAAUACGUUCCCGGGCCUUGUACACACCGCCCGUCACACCAUGGAAGUCUGCAAUGCCCGAAGCCGGUGGCCUAACCACUUAUGUGGAAGGAGCCGUCUAAGGCAGGGCAGAUGACUGGGGUGAAGUCGUAACAAGGUAAC
This 228-nucleotide ribosomal RNA is filed under the name uncultured bacterium. Its description in RNAcentral is "partial 16S ribosomal RNA". It matches the Rfam family "Bacterial small subunit ribosomal RNA", at positions 1277 to 1500 of the family's 1533-position model. The record is from RNAcentral.